Molecule: transfer RNA, 107 nt
Filed under: Thermoplasmata archaeon
Lineage: Archaea; Methanobacteriati; Thermoplasmatota; Thermoplasmata
Description: tRNA-His
Source: RNAcentral
GCCGGGAUGGGGUAGCUUGGCCUAUCCUGGGGGACUGUGGAUCCCUCGACCCGGGUUCAAAGCGAGACGGGGCCGUCCCCCGUCUCCUGAGACUCUCGGUCCCGGCC